This 468-nucleotide ribosomal RNA is filed under the name uncultured bacterium. Its description in RNAcentral is "partial 16S ribosomal RNA". It matches the Rfam family "Bacterial small subunit ribosomal RNA", at positions 28 to 507 of the family's 1533-position model. The record is from RNAcentral.
GACGAACGCUGGCGGCGUGCUUAACACAUGCAAGUCGAACGGAAAGGCCCUGCUUUUGUGGGGUGCUCGAGUGGCGAACGGGUGAGUAACACGUGAGUAACCUGCCCUUGACUUUGGGAUAACUUCAGGAAACUGGGGCUAAUACCGGAUAGGAGCUCCUGCUGCAUGGUGGGGGUUGGAAAGUUUCGGCGGUUGGGGAUGGACUCGCGGCUUAUCAGCUUGUUGGUGGGGUAGUGGCUUACCAAGGCUUUGACGGGUAGCCGGCCUGAGAGGGUGACCGGCCACACUGGGACUGAGAUGCGGCCCAGACUCCUACGGGAGGGAGCGGUGGAGAAUAUUACACAAUGGGCGGGAGCCUGAUGCGACAACGCCGCGUGCGGGAUGACGGCCUUCGGGUUGUAAACCGCUUUCGCCUGUGACGAAGCGUGAGUGACGGUAAUGGGUAAAGAAGCACCGGCUAACUACGUG